Molecule: long non-coding RNA, 2763 nt
Organism: Numida meleagris (helmeted guineafowl)
Lineage: Eukaryota; Metazoa; Chordata; Aves; Galliformes; Numididae
Source: Ensembl
CUCUGCCUCUGUUUCCUUCCCCUGCAUCCCUUCCCAGCCCUCCCUGCAGCUCCUCUGGGCCCCCCAGCCCGGCUUUGCUGUGGGUUGGCCAGCUGUGGGCAGCCAGCACAGCCAUGCAGCUGCUUCCCUGUGGAGACAGCAGGGCAAGCAGGAUGAUGCCCUCAGCUGGGAUGUGAGGGACUGGCUGCCCUCCUCCAGUGGCCUGGGCUUGCUGAGGUGAUUUGGCUGCACAAUGUGAGGGCUUAAGGGCCAUCCUGGCUGCCUCUAGCCCGCUCCAAGCCUUGCACCCUAGUAUGGGAUGGAGAGAGCUGCUUUCACAACCUGGACGUGUUGUCACUCGCUUCCAGACAUUUCCUGUUAUCUAACCUCAGCCUUAUCUUCCCCAUUUGCAGCUUCCUCUUGAAGGAGGAGCGGCCCCUUCAAAACUGAGCUGUGUGCCCCGGCUGUGCCCUGCAGCCAAGCCAGCCCCACACCGCUGCCCCUUCCUGGCAGGCCUGGUGGUGCAGCACGAUCCAGGCUGUCCGAUGAAGGUUCUCCGACACCUCCAGCAAGCACGGCAGAGCAGCUGGGGCAGGGGCCGGAGAUCACAGGACAGCACUCCAGUGAGGAGAUGGGGACAGCCUGGUGAGAGCUGCAGUGCAGCACUGCGUGUAUUUGACAAGCUGAGUUCGACACUCAGUCUGGCAGAGUGUCAGUUUGUCAAAUACCCCAAGUGAGGCACUUGCUGAGCAACAUGGCAGCACGCUGAAGGGAUGGACUCCUUCGCAUCCAUAUUCUGCUCCUCUGUAAGCCCAGUGAGGAAUGCCCUGGAGUGGGUUGAAGUACAGGUGACAGAUCACACAUCCCACAACAAAGCCUACACCCCACUAGACUGGGCUCACAGUGAGUGGUGUUCGUGUGGGACCACUGUGGAGCUGGUGCUCAGCUCAAGAAUUGAUGCUUCCAACAGACUCACUGACAUGAGAGUUCUUCCAUCCCUUCCAGGCCUCAGUCUGCUGUCAGCACUGUUCAGAGUAUUGCUGUAUCUUACCGUGCUCACACUGCAGUACCAGGUGACUGCAGGUUAGUGAAUGUGUGCGUGGAAGAGCACCAUGACCCUCACAAGAACAUGAUGGGAUGUGGUGAGGACUGAAGUAAUGGGAGGAGUCUGGUAUGGGAUGACUUGAUGCCUCUCACCUGUCUUCUCUAAAAAGUAAACCCAAGUCAAACUUCCAAGUCACAGAAUCACAGAAUCCUUAGAGUUGGAAGGGACCUUUAAUGGUCAUCUAGUCCAAAUCCUCUGCAAUGGACAGGAGAUCAGCUAGAUCAGGUUGCCCAGGGCCUGAACCAGCCUCACCUUGAAAGCCUCUAGGGACAGUGCAUCCACCACGUCUCUGUGCAACAUGAUCCAGUGCCUCACCACCCUCACUGGAAAAGACUUUUUCCAUAUAUCCAGCCUAAAUCUCCCCUCUAUAUGCUUGAAGCCAUUUCCCAUUGUUCUAUCACAACAGACCCUACUAAAGAGACUGUCCCCUUCUUUCCUGCAGCUCCCCUUUAGACAUUGACAGGCCGCUAUCUCUAGGCUGCACAGCCCCAGCUCUCUGCCUGUCCUCGUAGGAGAGGUGUUCCAUCCCUGGGAUCCUUUUUGUGGCCCUCCUCUGGACACUCUCCAACAGGUCUGUGUCCUUCCUGUACUGAGGACUCCACAUCUGGAUGCAGUGCUCCAGGUGUGUCCUCACCAGUGCAGAGCAGAGGGGCAGAAUCACCUCCCUCGCCCUGCUGGCCACGCUUCUUUUGAUGUAGCCCAGAAUAUGGUUGGCUUUCUGGUCUGUGAGGCACAUUGCUCACUCAUGUCCAGCUUCCCAUCCACCAGUACGCCCAGGUCUUUUUCAGCAAGGCUGUGCUCAAUCCUUUCAUACCCCAGUUUGUAUUGGUAGUGAGGGUUGCCUCAGCCCAGGUGCAAGAUCUUGCAUUUGGAUUUGUUGAACCUCAUGAGGUUCAGCUGGGCCCACUGCUCAGCCUGUCUAGAUCCCUCUGGUGUAUCAACCACACACCCACAGCUCGGUGUCAUCAGCAAACUUGCCGAGGGUGCACUUGACACCACUGUCAAUGUCACUGAUGAAGAUAUUAAAGAGUAUUGGCCCCAGCACCAACCCCUGGGGACACCGCUCAUCACUGAUCUCCAUCCUGACAUGGAGCCAUUGAUAAACACUCUCUGGACUUGAUGCUACAGUCAGUUCUUCAUCCAUUGAACAGUCCAUCCAUCAAAUCCAUAUCUUUCCCAUUUGGAGAGAAGAAUGUUGUGGGGUACCGUGUCAAAGGCCAAAAGUCAAACUGUGGCCAUGUCUGGUCUGUACCCCUACGCAUUCUUCAGAACUGAACCACAAGACAGAGCAAAAGCACAAAUUUGUAAGCAACAGAAACAUGAGGCACUGCGUGGUGAAACACCAAGAAAGCCAGCAUACAUACACCACAGAUGCUUUUGAAGCAUUUCAUAUUUGCCUGGGAUAUAAAUCACAUUGCACACAUCAAGCACUUUUCAAGGCACUUUACAAACAUAAAAGCUCACAGCAUCCUCAUUAGAUAGAUGAGCAUGAACAUCACAGUUGUAACCAGACAGAUUUAGUUGUGUCCCAUACAGUGAGCCAGUGUCAGUCUGUUGGAUCCAGGGAGAUCCCUUACUCAGUCACUAUUCCAAAUGCCUCAAAUUUAUCUCUGCAAUGCUUCUUUUUUAUCAUGCUUCUGGUUUCCACACCGUAAAAUAAACUGCUAGCAAUCCCUUCA